This is a long non-coding RNA of Ostrea edulis (European flat oyster), 825 nucleotides long. RefSeq lists it as uncharacterized. The transcript has 2 exons. NCBI's taxonomy places the organism in Eukaryota, Metazoa, Mollusca, Bivalvia, Ostreida, Ostreidae. The record is from RefSeq and is a predicted model, not a curated record.
GAUUUCUCUGCAAUGUACAUGUGCUAUACAUGUAACAUAGAUAAAAGGAUGUAUAUCAUAAUGUAAACCCAGAUUGGAUCCACCUAAGUUAGUUUUAUAAGAAGAGCCUACUGUCUUAUAAAUGAUAUACAUGUAUGUGUAGCUAAGAACCUCUCAUUGAAGGAUAGUGGAAAUCAUACUACAGGUUAACACGCUUCAUAAUACAUCUACAGACAAUGGAAAUCAUACUACAGCUUAACACGCUUCAUAAUACAUCUACAGAUAAUGGAAAUCAUACUACAGCUUAACACGCUUCAUAAUACAUCUACAGAUAAUGGAAAUCAUACCACAGGUUAACACGCUUCAUAAUACAUCUACAGAUAAUGGAAAUCAUACUACAGCUUAACACGCUUCAUAAUACAUCUACAGACAAUGGAAAUCAUACUACAGGUUAACACGCUUCAUAAUACAUCUACAAAUAGGAGGUAAAUUGCUAGAUAUGUAAUAUUUCUACAAAAAGGUUUUUAUUCUUUAUGUAUAGUUUUUGCCCUGUCCAUCUGUCUGUCUGUGACAAAAAACUUUUAAUCUUGGUAAAGCUCUCUUAUUUGGUAUGUACAUGUGUAUAUAUAUAUAUAUUUUUUUUUUCCUUGUGGCAAGACCUUUCCAAUGAAACCAAAAUCUUUGACCUGGUGACCUUUGACCAACUUUAAGAAAAUUCAAAUAUAAGCCAUAUCUUUCAUAUUGUAAGAGAUGCUGUUUUUAGAUAUAGCAUGUACAUUUUUUGUGAGAAGACCUUUCCAAUGAUACCAGAUUUGUUGACCUUGACCAUUGACCUAGUUUUUGGGU